CGCAAGGCUAUUUUUCAUCCGGAGAACACUAUUAAGGGACGUCUCAGAAAAAAUGAUGCGAUGAGGACGGCACCCAACAUAAGAUCGGAACAGAUAAUUACGGACCGUAUGAAGGCGGCGGUGGAUUCGGGCCAACGUCCACGUGAUUUUCAGAUUAUAUCGCAUGCGAACCACAGUGCUAGAACUAUGAGUAAUGUUGCGUCGGGUAGAUGGAGUGACGAAGUGGAGAUGGGUUCUGCCCAUGCCACGCAUCCCAACUGUUUGUGAUGAAUUUUUUAGUUUGGAAUGUCCGUGGUCUCACGGAAGAAUCCAAACUUAUUCUUAAGGAGCAUUGUGCUUCUUUUUCUCCAGUUGUGGUGGGCAUUCUGGAG
This 371-nucleotide long non-coding RNA is filed under the name Salvia miltiorrhiza (redroot sage). RNAcentral describes it as "long non-coding RNA (SMIL_LNC012111)". Lineage: Eukaryota; Viridiplantae; Streptophyta; Magnoliopsida; Lamiales; Lamiaceae. The record is from RNAcentral.